RNAcentral lists this ribosomal RNA (919 nucleotides) under uncultured Bacteroidota bacterium. RNAcentral's name for it is "bacterial SSU rRNA". It matches the Rfam family "Bacterial small subunit ribosomal RNA", at positions 66 to 979 of the family's 1533-position model. The record is from RNAcentral. Lineage: Bacteria; Pseudomonadati; Bacteroidota.
GGGGCAUCAUUUGGUUUGCUUGCAAACCAAAGCUGGCGACCGGCGCACGGGUGAGUAACACGUAUCCACCUGCCUCAUACUCGGGGAUAGCCUUUCGAAAGAAAGAUUAAUAUCCGAUAGCAUAUAUUUCCCGCAUGGGUUUUAUAUUAAAGAAAUUCGGUAUGAGAUGGGGAUGCGUUCCAUUAGUUUGUUGGGGGGGUAACGGCCCACCAAGACUACGAUGGAUGGGGGUUCUGAGAGGAAGGUCCCCCACAUUGGAACUGAGACACGGUCCAAACUCCUACGGGAGGCAGCAGUGAGGAAUAUUGGUCAAUGGACGCGAGUCUGAACCAGCCAAGUAGCGUGAAGGAUGACUGCCCUAUGGGUCGUAAACUUCUUUUAUAUUAGAAUAAAGUGCAGUAUGUAUACUGUUUUGUAUGUAUAAUAUGAAUAAGGAUCGGCUAACUCCGUGCCAGCAGCCGCGGUAAUACGGAGGAUCCGAGCGUUAUCCGGAUUUAUUGGGUUUAAGGGAGCGUAGGCGGAUUGUUAAGUCAGUUGUGAAAGUUUGCGGCUCAACCGUAAAAUUGCAGUUGAUACUGGCAGUCUUGAGUGCAGUAGAGGUGGGCGGAGUUCGUGGUGUAGCGGUGAAAUGCUUAGAUAUCACGAAGAACUCCGAUUGCGAAGGCAGCUCACUGGAGUGUAACUGACGCUGAUGCUCGAAAGUGUGGGUAUCAAACAGGAUUAGAUACCCUGGUAGUCCACACAGUAAACGAUGAAUACUCGCUGUUUGCGAUAUACAGUAAGCGGCCAAGCGAAAGCAUUAAGUAUUCCACCUGGGGAGUACGCCGGCAACGGUGAAACUCAAAGGAAUUGACGGGGGCCCGCACAAGCGGAGGAACAUGUGGUUUAAUUCGAUGAUACGCGAGGAACCUUACCCGGG